CGAAGUGGCGACAUGGAGCGAAUCCAAAAACAAACGCCCCAGUUCGGAUUGUAGUCUGCAACCCGACUACAUGAAGCCGGAAUCGCUAGUAAUCGCGGAUCAGAAUGCCGCGGUGAAUACGUUCCCGGGUCUUGUACACACCGCCCGUCACACCAUGGGAGUCGGGAAUGCCCGAAGUCAGUGACCCAACCCAAGGGAGGGAGCUGCCGAAGGCAGGCCUGGUGACUGGGGUGAAGUCGUAACAAGGUACC
This 251-nucleotide ribosomal RNA is filed under the name uncultured bacterium. RNAcentral describes it as "partial 16S ribosomal RNA". It matches the Rfam family "Bacterial small subunit ribosomal RNA", at positions 1250 to 1500 of the family's 1533-position model. The record is from RNAcentral.